CUCGCUCAGGUGAUCCUCCCACCUCAACCUCCCAAGUAGCUGGGACUACAGGCACGCACCACCAUACCCAGCUAGAGCCCAAGCUCCUAACCGCUUCUGCUGUGCAGUAACAAGCCACGCUCAGGGCAUGGGCCCAACUUGAGUUUCUUCCAUCCACGGGUCCAGACUGGAAAGGAAGCAGCAAUCUUCUCUUCUUUUCUCACUGAGUAUAAGGCACCCAAUUCAUCUUCUGGCAGCUGACCUGGAGGACGGAGUGGCCCUGAUUUUCCUUUUACAGGUACAAUCACUGCCAAUACUAAAGCAGUGCCUGUCCCUACCUGCCAGGGCACCCAGGAUCCUUGUCUCCAGCAGUAACUUCAUGAGAGCCAUUUGGAAGAAGAGCUCAAGCUGUUGAAACAAACAAAACGCUGCAUGAGAUGAAGACCAGAUUCCUGCUCUUUGGAGAAACCAAUCAGGGCUGUCAGAUUCGAAUCAAUCAUCCGGACACGUUACAGGAGUGCGGCUUCAACUCCUC
Molecule: long non-coding RNA, 514 nt
Filed under: Homo sapiens (human)
Lineage: Eukaryota; Metazoa; Chordata; Mammalia; Primates; Hominidae
Description: HSALNT0220829
Source: RNAcentral